GAGAACUAAACAACGCUAAAGCUGGGGUCGAAGAAAGAGUUCAGAAGAAGGGUUUACUUUGAUUGGGUUGGUCCCUAUGCUGAAAGAAUAGGUUCCAAACGGAAAAGUAAUGAGUAAAAACUGACAUUCCAGUAACAACAUCCACUUUGUCUUUAGGUAUAAAUUUGGUAAUUAGUGGGUGUCUCACUAAAAUGUUCUGCAGGUGUAUCACUCAACACUCAAUUUUCUCUCGGUUUUUGGGUAAGGGUGUCACUCACGAGUUCUGUAAGUGUAUCCCUCCACACAAAUACUGAGCUUCCAAAAUGCUGAGUACCUGCAAGAAAAUCACCUUAGCCACCCUUAAAGGGGGUCACCGGUGGUGCAAUGGGAGUUCGUAAUUCCCAGUCCCUGCAGACUCAUCAGAUAAAUCCGAAUCAUGGUCCACAAGUUGCCAACCACUAAGUGGCUUAUCCAAUUAAGGAUCCAGAGUUGUUUGCUCUGGGAGGUUAGACAAAGGCUUAAUUAUGGCAAAGGCC
RNAcentral lists this long non-coding RNA (515 nucleotides) under Daucus carota (carrot). RNAcentral describes it as "long non-coding RNA (DCAR_LNC001060)". Lineage: Eukaryota; Viridiplantae; Streptophyta; Magnoliopsida; Apiales; Apiaceae. The record is from RNAcentral.